ACAACAGUUGGAAACGACUGCUAAUACCGCAUAAGCCCACGACCCGGCAUCGGGAAGAGGGAAAAGGAGCAAUCCGCUUUGAGAUGGCCUCGCGUCCGAUUAGCUAGUUGGUGAGGUAACGGCCCACCAAGGCGACGAUCGGUAGCCGGACUGAGAGGUUGAACGGCCACAUUGGGACUGAGACACGGCCCAGACUCCUACGGGAGGCAGCAGUGGGGAAUAUUGCACAAUGGGGGAAACCCUGAUGCAGCGACGCCGCGUGGAGGAAGAAGGUCUUCGGAUUGUAAACUCCUGUUGUUGAGGAAGAUAAUGACGGUACUCAACAAGGAAGUGACGGCUAACUACGUGCCAGCAGCCGCGGUAAAACGUAGGUCACAAGCGUUGUCCGGAAUUACUGGGUGUAAAGGGAGCGCAGGCGGGAAGACAAGUUGGAAGUGAAAUCCAUGGGCUCAACCCAUGAACUGCUUUCAAAACUGUUUUUCUUGAGUAGUGCAGAGGUAGGCGGAAUUCCCGGUGUAGCGGUGGAAUGCGUAGAUAUCGGGAGGAACACCAGUGGCGAAGGCGGCCUACUGGGCACCAACUGACGCUGAGGCUCGAAAGUGUGGGUAGCAAACAGGAUUAGAUACCCUGGUAGUCCACACCGUAAACGAUGAUUACUAGGUGUUGGAGGAUUGACCCCUUCAGUGCCG
Molecule: ribosomal RNA, 689 nt
Filed under: uncultured bacterium
Lineage: Bacteria
Description: bacterial SSU rRNA
Rfam family: Bacterial small subunit ribosomal RNA
Source: RNAcentral